This 497-nucleotide ribosomal RNA is filed under the name uncultured bacterium. Its description in RNAcentral is "partial 16S ribosomal RNA". It matches the Rfam family "Bacterial small subunit ribosomal RNA", at positions 28 to 507 of the family's 1533-position model. The record is from RNAcentral.
GACGAACGCUGGCGGCGUGCCUAAUACAUGCAAGUAGAACGCUGAAGCGAGGAGCUUACUCUUCUCGGAUGAGUUGCGAACGGGUGAGUAACGCGUAGGUAACCUGCCUUGUAGCGGGGGAUAACUAUGGGAAACGAUAGCUAAUACCGCAUAACAAUGGAUGACACAUGUCAUUUAUUUGAAUGGGGCAAUUGCUCCACUACAAGAUGGACCUGCGUUGUAUUAGCUAGUAGGUGAGGUAAUGGCUCACCUAGGCGACGUAACAUAGCCGACCUGAGAGGGUGGUCGGCCGAACUGGGAAGGGGACAGGGCCCAAGCUCCCUGGGGAGGGAGCAGGAGGGAAACUUCGGCCAGGGGGGGAAACCUUACCGAGCAACGCCGCGGUAGUGAAGAAGGUUGUCGGAUCGUAAAGGUCUGUUUUAAGUCAAGAACGAGUGUGAGAGUGGAAAGUACACACUGUGACGGUAGCCUACCAGAAAGGAACGGCUAACUACGUG